This 312-nucleotide unclassified non-coding RNA is filed under the name Hevea brasiliensis (rubber tree). The record is from RNAcentral. Lineage: Eukaryota; Viridiplantae; Streptophyta; Magnoliopsida; Malpighiales; Euphorbiaceae.
GGGAGUUACCUGCUUCUCUUAAAGAUUUGGUUAUUGACUGUUCCUUAUCUAGCGGAGGAAUAAGUGCAGGGUUAGAGUCAAUAGCUGAAAGGUUCAACAGCACCACAUCUCUUGAGUCUAUUAAAAUUGGAUAUCUUCUUAAUCUUAAAUCUUUACCCGAGAGCCUCCACAUGCUCGCCAGUCUCCACAACAUUUGGAUAUACAACUGUCCAAGUCUUGUAUCUUUCCCGCAGGGAGGUUUGCCCACCUUGCGUCUGAAAAGCCUUACUGUUGAUGACUGCGAGAAACUCGAGGUCCUUCCUGAUAACAUGC